Molecule: long non-coding RNA, 4209 nt
Filed under: Marmota monax (woodchuck)
Lineage: Eukaryota; Metazoa; Chordata; Mammalia; Rodentia; Sciuridae
Source: RNAcentral
CCCCGCCCCGUCUCUCUCCAUCCCUUUCUGGGGGAGGCUUGGUUGAAGAGAAACAAGACAUCGAAACCUUCCUGCUACAGUAUUUUAAGUGAAGAUGGAGAAGCAGCCUUACAAGACAAAAUUGCUGGGACUGUCCCUGGCAUCCGUUCUCUCUUUCACACGGCUCCGUCGUGGAUCAGAAACAUUUAAGCAGGUGGACAUCACCCGCUGUCCAGGCACCGCAUGCAGAAUUCCAGUACAGCUGAAGGGAUAGCAUGGAGAACUAGAGAAACUUCUCCUGUUCCUUUGCGGGUAAACACCAGACAGGCUAGACCUGACCUCAUCCAAAGACAAAAGUAGAUGCUUAUAUUUAAAAAGUAUUAGUAUAUUAUGCUAACAAAAUUAUAUGUGAUGCAUAUGCGAGGAAAGAAAAGGAAAGAUAGCUCAUAGAUCCUUAGACGAGGUCAGAAAUAAAACACAAGUACAUUAUUUAUCAGAUAUAGACAAAAUUUAUUGACUCAGGGACUGAAGGUAAAAAGAUUAUAGAAAAAUGUAUCAACCCAAUGUAAUAAAAAUGCAAUGGUUGCUAUACCAACAUCACAAUUUCCAAAGAAAGGCCAUUAAAUUGGAUAUUAAAAAAUCUUUUUUUUUAAAAUAAAUAUAAUCCACAAAUAUGUCAAAUAGUGUAUUUCAAAAAUAUAUAAUCAGGAUAUAUAUGAAGUAAAUCCUCUAUAUGUAGAAAUAUGCCAAGACAUCAAGUGGCAGACGAGAGUAGCUGGAGAUUUUAACAUGCUUGUCACCAUCUUUGACAGAAUAAUUAUGCAAAAUACAGUGAUAAAGAGGCUAGGAAAUUCAGGCGUAGAAUAGGGACUCAGGCACCAAUUGUUCCUUUCAGGUGAGUAGUUGACUUGACCAAGCCUCGGUGGCUCUGCCUGUCAUGUUAGGUCAAUGCAGAUUCUUACAUUGCAAAGACAAUUGUUCUAAGGGUGCAGAGGGAACUCUGGGUGGCUGGCUGGUGGUAAGUAGAGGAGAAGGCCAUCAGAGUGCUUGAGUCUCCAUGGCUGCUCCAUGAACGUAAAGAAGAAGGGAAUCCUCCCUUGGCAUAAGAAAAGGUAGCGUGGGCAAGGCAUAGACAGGGGGAAGCAGGGUAAGGUUGGUUGGUGUUGAUUUUAUUUAUUAUUAUUUUUAGGGAAGAACCCAGCCACACUGGAGUGUAGGUACAGUUAUAAAUACAGCAGCUGCAGUAGUGGGAGAAGAUGCUGGAGGGAUUCUUGGAGCAUCCGAGAGCCUUAGAUUCCGACAGACUGACUGUGGGCCUCUGUGCUCUGGCCUGAAAGGUGGAGUGACUCAUGACUCCUAGGAUGGGGUUCCUAAUAAGCCCUAUAGAAUGUUUCUGUUCAACUUUAAAAAUCAUGGUUAGAGCCGGGUGCGGUGCUACACCCUAUAAUCCCAGUGGCUUGAGAUGCUGAGGCAAGAGGAUCACGAGUUCAAAUCCAGCCUCAGAAACUCAGUGAGACCCUAAGUAGCUCAGCAAGACCCUGCUUCUAAAUAAAAUAUUAAAAAAAAAAAGGUCUGGGGAUGUGGCUCAGGGGUUAAAGAUUGAACCCCUCGGUUCAAUCUUUGGUAUCAAAGAAUAAAAUUUGAUUAAGUAACAUAAAAUUAUAUUAACCCCUGUUAACCCUUUUUAGUCCCAUAUUAACCCCUUUUUGGUGUGUAGCUCAGUGGGAUCAAACACAUUCAUCAUCCAGCACAGCUCCCACCCGUGUUCCCAUCCAUCUCCAGAACUUGUUUCAUCUGUAAAACUCAAACUCCCUGCCUGUGAGCCAACAGCUCCUCCCUCUCCCCUCUCUAUAGCCCCUGGACCCACCAUUCUCUUUCUCUCUCUGGGAUGACUGUUCUAAGUACCUCAUACAAGAAGAGCUUAUUUCUCUCGAGGUCUACCCAUAGGGUAGCACGUGUCAGGAUUCCUUCUUUUUAAAGGCUGAGUGAUCUUCCAUUGCAUGUUUAGACUGUGUUUUGUCUGGCCAUUCCAUUAGUGGCAAGUGGUUGCAUCCACAUUUUAGCUACUGUGAAUAAGGCUGCUCCAAACAAAGGGUGCACAAAUGUCCUCUUUGAGACCCUGGCUUCAGUUCUUUUGUGGAUAUGCCCAGCAGUGAGCUUGUUGGAUCUAAAGGUAAUCCAGUGUUAAGUUACUGAGCAACUGUCUCGUAGGACCAUUGUACCUGUCCACCGAUGGUGUACCAGCGUUCCGAUUUCUCACCAUCUUCACCAGGACGUGCAGUUUUCUUCUUAUAGUAGCCAUCCUGAGAGAUGUAAGAUGGCAUGACAGUGUUUUUGAGGUACAUCUCAAACAUGAUUGGCGAUGUUGAACAUCCCUUCCUGAGCUUAUUGGGAUAUGCCUAGCAGUGAGCUUAUAUCCUUCCUGUAUAAAUUCUCACAAGCUCCUUGAAAUGUUUAAGUAGGAGGCAGUUCAGGUUACAAAUUCAGAAUCAUCUUCGGUGUGCAUCAUUGGCGAUUGCUAAUGCUGGUGUUGUUGCUGUCAUUAUCUCAACAAGUGACUACGCCCCCACCCUGUGGUUUAAAGGAACCAUUAAGGCAUUUGAAGCAAGGCAACACCUGAUCAAUUUCGUGUUUCAAAAAUAGCUCUGACCUGACACAGUGAUGUAAAAUUGGAGGACCACCGAUGAAUUUGUUUACUUUUUAUUUCCUCAUGCUGGAAAAUGAGAAUCGGGCCAAUCUGACAUUUUAUUUGGAUUUGUUCAUUUUCCAUUGCAGGUGUAUUGCUGCAAAAAGUGGCAUGAGGACCUAAUUAUUCAGGAGAUACUUAAAGGGCUGGCAAAAACAUUACUGCUUUGUAGACGGGCUGAUACCCCAGUUUUCCUUAUCAUUGCUUUCUCUAGAGAGCCCCCCUGCCCCAUGCAAACCAUCAGCAUUAUUUCUGGAGGUAAGGUAAACAUUUUAAUCUUUGUGGCCUGAUCUUGAUGGAGAACAGAUCAACCAAAUCCCGCUCCUGCCUGCAAAGCAAUCAAUACCAAGGAAGAAAAUGAAAAGCACUUAAACCAAACUUCCUGAAUGGAUACUCCCAAGAAACACGGGAAGGAUUUUUUUCCUUAGAAAGGUUAUCUUGGGGGUUUGAAUCUUUUACAGAGCCCUAACAAAUGGCUCAGAAAAGGGAUUAGAUGGACUCCCUGGGAAUGGUAACGAUUUUAAUGUCACUGUUGAGGUUGACAAAAAUAAAAAUAUUUCCUUAGAAAAUGUGAACGAGUGGAAACCUUGUUCCUUGUUUGGGCUCCAGGCCGGCAGGACUAGGGAAAGCCUGGUGGCCCAGCGGAGGAGGUCCUCACCCGAUACGUGGUUUUGGAUGCCUGGCAGUGCCUCCUUACCUGCUCCAAUAUGGGUGAGCAGGUAUGUGACAUCCCAAGUAAGACAUUUCAUUCAUUCAGUCUUGGCAGGCGUCACUCCUGGGCUGUCUCUUGGCUCCUCUGCUUUUCCUGGUUUCACCUCCACCUACUUCUCCUCUCUCCCUCCACAUGCCCCCCACGCUUCCUGCUCCACCUUAUGCUCUCCAGCCUUAUCGUCCUACUGUGCCCUUGAUUUCUACCCCUUCUCCUACUCACCCUUUCUCGCUCCAGACUCACAAGGUCUAAGCUCUGCACCUUAUGUUCCUCAGGUAUCCCAAACUCGACGUCUAAAACCAUAAACUUUUCCUAAGAAACCAAUCCUACCACUUACUCCGCUCCUAAACCCUUGUUUUUAUCUUGGAAAUCUAUGACUACUUUCCCCCCCAUCUGUUUAAUGAAUUAACCAAUCCAGUUGUUUCUAGCUUCCCAUGUUGUUCUUGGACCAUCCACCUCUGAUUUCACCCAUCCGUCAACUUUAUCUCUUACCUGUGUCGUUCAACGGUACCUCAUCUGGUCUGAUUCCCAUCUACCUUUCUUCUAGUACAAACUCUGGAUUGCUUUGCUUAAAAUGCAAAUCUAAUUAUUUUAUCACCAAUCACUACUUCCACACCUUUUAUCACUUCCAAGAAGAGCCAUGUGCUGCGGGACUAUGUUUUGGUCAACGAUGCACUACAUACACAAGAGUGGUCCCAUGGAGCUGUCAAAGUCUUAUGGCCUAAGGAUGCUGUAGUCAUGGUAACACCACAGAGCAAGGCACCCCUCAGAUGGUGAUGCUGGUAUAAAUAAGCAUAUUGUGUUGUCAGUCCCGAGAGGAUUGCUACACAAUUAC